This 491-nucleotide ribosomal RNA is filed under the name uncultured bacterium. RNAcentral describes it as "partial 16S ribosomal RNA". It matches the Rfam family "Bacterial small subunit ribosomal RNA", at positions 29 to 507 of the family's 1533-position model. The record is from RNAcentral.
GUGAACGCUGGCGGUAGGCCUAACACAUGCAAGUCGAACGGCAGCACAGUAAGAGCUUGCUCUUACGGGUGGCGAGUGGCGGACGGGUGAGGAAUACAUCGGAAUCUACUUUUUCGUGGGGGAUAACGUAGGGAAACUUACGCUAAUACCGCAUACGAUCUACGGGUGAAAGCAGGGGAUCUUCGGACCUUGCGCGAUUGAAUGAGCCGAUGUCGGAUUAGCUAGUUGGCGGGGUAAAGGCCCACCAAGGCGACGAUCCGUAGCUGGUCUGAGAGGAUGAUCAGCCACACUGGAACUGAGACACGGUCCAGACUCCUACGGGAGGCAGCAGUGGGGAAUAUUGGACAAUGGGCGCAAGCCUGAUCCAGCCAUACCGCGUGGGUGAAGAAGGCCUUCGGGUUGUAAAGCCCUUUUGUUGGGAAAGAAAAGCAGCAGGUUAAUACCCCGCUGUUCUGACGGUACCCAAAGAAUAAGCACCGGCUAACUUCGUG